CAGCAUCCCGUUUCAAUGGAGAAACUACCGAUGUCAACUGAGUAACGUACCUCUUCUUCUCCUUUCUUUAAAUCCCCCUUGUCCUCGUGUACACCCAUGUGAAUGUGGGAAUCAAUGUUCAGCUGGGAUGUUUAAUUUUGCCGCUGGCACAACAACCACUCGCGGAUGGAACAUCAAAAUCGCUAUGCUCCCUUGUGGCGCUAGAUAUCUCGCUCCGGUGGAUUGCCUCCUAUAUUUCACCGCUUCUACGGGAAGGGUCAAAUCAUUCAAUUGGCAAGACGCCACAGGUGCCCUCCAACUCAACAAUCAAAACUACAACAUUUGCUUCCGGACGGAACUGGUUUCAUCGCAGG
Molecule: long non-coding RNA, 353 nt
Organism: Daphnia pulex (common water flea)
Lineage: Eukaryota; Metazoa; Arthropoda; Branchiopoda; Diplostraca; Daphniidae
Exons: 2
Source: RefSeq, a predicted model, not a curated record